GGCCUAUGACAGAGAAAUGACAAAUCAGAAACAAUUGACAGACCCCUGGGCUCUCCUAAGACAAGCCUAAGAUAUCAUUGGUGCCUGUGAGACACAGGAAAGUGAUGUAAAACCGUCUAUAUAUUUUGCAUCACUUCCUCUCUCUGGUCUCUUUCCCUGGACAGGUGGCCUGGCUGGCAGCGUGUGAAGUGUUCCGGUAUCUUGGGUGGUGGCAGCUAUUGUCCGGUUUGGUGGUUCCUUCUCUUCCUCCUCAAAUGAAAACUGACUUUCUCCAAAACAACAGUCUCACCUAUCCCAAACAAUGCUUUUCUUUUUAAAUAAUUUUAUUGAGCUCCUUCAGGAUAGGGACUGUCUUGCAUACUUGUAUUUGCAUCCCCAGCACUUGGCACAUUUCCUGGAAUAAAGUAAAUAAUAAAAAGAGAAUAAAAUA
Molecule: long non-coding RNA, 430 nt
Filed under: Monodelphis domestica (gray short-tailed opossum)
Lineage: Eukaryota; Metazoa; Chordata; Mammalia; Didelphimorphia; Didelphidae
Description: lncRNA (ENSMODG00000047184.1)
Source: RNAcentral